RNAcentral lists this unclassified non-coding RNA (474 nucleotides) under uncultured fungus. Its description in RNAcentral is "partial contains 18S rRNA, ITS1, 5.8S rRNA, ITS2 and 28S RNA". The stretch from base 137 to 290 matches the Rfam family "5.8S ribosomal RNA". The record is from RNAcentral. Lineage: Eukaryota; Fungi.
GGGGAAACAAAACCCUAAAACUUUUUAAAACCCUUUUCACGAUUUGACUCAUGUUUGCUCGGCGGGUUUUCCUCGCCAGAGGAUCCACAAAACUCCUGUUUUAACGGGGUUGUCUGAAGCUACAAAGCACGAAUCAAACUUUCAACAACGGAUCUCUUGGUUCUGGCAUCGAUGAAGAACGCAGCGAAAUGCGAUAAGUAGUGUGAAUUGCAGAAUUCAGUGAAUCAUCGAAUCUUUGAACGCACAUUGCGCCCCUUGGUAUCCCGAGGGGCAUGCCUGUUCGAGCGUCAUUUCACCACUCAAGCCUGGCUUGGUGUUGGGCGACGUCCCCUUCAGGGACGCGCCUCGAAACGCUCGGCGGCGUGGCACCGGCUUUAAGCGUAGCAGAAUCUUUCGCUUCAAAAGUUGGGGCCCCGUCUGCCGGAAGACCUACUCGCCCGAUCCACUACGGGAGGUCUGCUAUACAUAGGUACG